GUGGGGGAUAUUGCACAAUGGGGGGAACCCGUGAUGCAGCGACGCCGCGUGGGUGAAGAAGCGCCUCGGCGCGUAAAGCCCUGUCAGCAGGGAAGAAAAUGACGGUACCUGAAGAAGAAGCCCCGGCUAACUACGUGCC
This 139-nucleotide ribosomal RNA is filed under the name uncultured bacterium. RNAcentral's name for it is "partial 16S ribosomal RNA". It matches the Rfam family "Bacterial small subunit ribosomal RNA", at positions 354 to 509 of the family's 1533-position model. The record is from RNAcentral.